RNAcentral lists this ribosomal RNA (484 nucleotides) under Drechslerella heterospora. RNAcentral's name for it is "SSU rRNA". It matches the Rfam family "Eukaryotic small subunit ribosomal RNA", at positions 74 to 563 of the family's 1831-position model. Lineage: Eukaryota; Fungi; Ascomycota; Orbiliomycetes; Orbiliales; Orbiliaceae. The record is from RNAcentral.
CUAUACAGUGAAACUGCGAAUGGCUCAUUAAAUCAGUUAUCGUUUAUUUGAUAGUACCUUACUACUUGGAUAACCGUGGUAAUUCUAGAGCUAAUACAUGCUAAAAAUCCCGACCUCUGGAAGGGAUGUAUUUAUUAGAUAAAAAACCAAUGCCUUGGGCUCUUUGGUGAUUCAUGAUAACUUAACGAAUCGCAUGGCCUUGCGCCGGCGAUGGUUCAUUCAAAUUUCUGCCCUAUCAACUUUCGAUGGUAGGAUAGUGGCCUACCAUGGUUUCAACGGGUAACGGGGAAUUAGGGUUCUAUUCCGGAGAGGGAGCCUGAGAAACGGCUACCACAUCCAAGGAAGGCAGCAGGCGCGCAAAUUACCCAAUCCCAAUUCGGGGAGGUAGUGACAAUAAAUACUGAUACAGGGCUCUUUCGGGUCUUGUAAUUGGAAUGAGUACAAUUUAAAUCCCUUAACGAGGAACAAUUGGAGGGCAAGUCUG